GAGCUGCUCUUGAUAGUCGAGCGCUCAGCAGAUGAAUCACUUGUUCAGUGACGAUAUACUCCUACAUCUCACCUGUGUGCUAUACCAGUAUCUCCACACUCCUUGUUAUGAGGACAACUGACCUAUAUAGCAUACAACAACCUACUCUUGAUAAAUGUCAUUGUCCCUAUUAAUGACGUAUCAUUUGGUUAUGAACAUGUUUAAGAACUAUUCGAUAAAUCCUCCUCUAUCGAUCAAAAUAUAGUUCUAGGGACUUCGUCACAACACAAAAGUUCUAGUAAGGAAGAUGUACACCUUGUGAUGAAAAAUAUCAAAAUAAUUUUUAUUCAUUGAUCAAUAAUUUAUAUACAAAAUUCAAUUAUUUACAAUAAGCUAAUUGACUUUAGGAUAUAAUUCUCAACAGUUUCUAUUGAAAGAUGCUAGGAUAAUUGAGAAGCAUAUAACAUUGCUUUUUAUUUAAUCUUUCGUGAGAGUAUUGAGCACAUAAAAGUGAAUUAAUAAUAUAUUUAAUUAUUUAUUAAAGUAGUGUAAGACAAGAUUUAGUCACAUGAUUCACUAAUUCUAAAGAUCAUGUGACUGAUCUG
RNAcentral lists this long non-coding RNA (584 nucleotides) under Elaeis guineensis (African oil palm). RNAcentral's name for it is "long non-coding RNA (EGUI_LNC076549)". The record is from RNAcentral. Lineage: Eukaryota; Viridiplantae; Streptophyta; Magnoliopsida; Arecales; Arecaceae.